RNAcentral lists this non-coding RNA (84 nucleotides) under Marinobacter persicus. Lineage: Bacteria; Pseudomonadati; Pseudomonadota; Gammaproteobacteria; Pseudomonadales; Marinobacteraceae. The record is from RNAcentral.
GCCUCAUGCCUGAAAGGGCGACGUGGCAACACGGAGCGAGAAGUCAGCAGAGGCCAUAGUAGCCGCUAACACAGGGCGAAGGGC